Molecule: long non-coding RNA, 543 nt
Organism: Ipomoea nil (Japanese morning glory)
Lineage: Eukaryota; Viridiplantae; Streptophyta; Magnoliopsida; Solanales; Convolvulaceae
Exons: 3
Source: RefSeq, a predicted model, not a curated record
CUUGAGCCAUUUCCAGAUCAGAAAAACCCUCUCAGAAUCCGCCUCGUCAAUCGCUUCCCUUCUCCGGCAAAGGCUAAAGUUUUCGUGAUCGAGAGAAAUGGAUGCUUUGGAUUCGGUGUUUGAUCCUCUUAGAGACUUCGCAAAGGACAGCGUCCGUCUCGUCAAGAGAUGCCACAAGCCCGACCGCAAAGAAUUCUCGAAAGUAGCGGUUCGAACUGCGAUCGGGUUCGUGGUAAUGGGAUUUGUAGGGUUCUUCGUCAAGCUGAUUUUCAUCCCCAUCAACAACAUUAUCGUCGGAUCUGGUUGAUGCUGGUCAUCAGGACUGAUCUGCCUCGCUACCAUGGGAAUCACUAAUGCAGUGGGAUGCACCUCAAGUAGCAUAGAUGUUUUGUUGUUCGUUUUUCCAGUCUGAGUUAGGGUUCACAACAGUUAAAUUUCAAUAUUUGUACUGACUGUAUGUAGUUUUACCUUGGUCUACCCUUAUUUGUUAUGAUGAUGUUAGCUACCAUUAUAAAGUGAUCAAUCAAAUUUGUUUUGAACAUU